This 339-nucleotide long non-coding RNA is filed under the name Lathyrus oleraceus (garden pea). RNAcentral describes it as "Pisum sativum (pea) long non-coding RNA (PSAT_LNC011007)". Lineage: Eukaryota; Viridiplantae; Streptophyta; Magnoliopsida; Fabales; Fabaceae. The record is from RNAcentral.
UAAUAACUCAAUAAUUUAUUUAAUAUUUUAAUUGAAUUGAUAUUCAAUUUGUAUCAAUUUCUUAUCAAAAUUUAUAAUUUAAUAUCUUAAUUCAAUUGAUCAUCUAUCUAUAUUGAUGGAUGGAUCGGUUCGGAUUUUAAAACAUUACUAUAGUUAAAACUAUCAUAGUUAAUUUAAUUUGUUGCUAUGAUUAUUUUUGAAAUUCAAAAUACACAUGAUUCUUUCCCUUUAAGACAUCCCUAUUAAAAAUUCAUAAAUUUAUUCAACCCAAAAAAAUAAAAAAUAAAAAAUAAAAAUAAAAAAGCAACUUUUCUGCAAAAGCUAUGACUAAUACUAUAU